CCUACGGGAGGCAGCAGUGGGGAAUUUUGGACAAUGGGCGCAAGCCUGAUCCAGCCAUGCCGCGUGUGGGAAGAAGGCCUUCGGGUUGUAAACCACUUUUGUCAGGGAAGAAACGGUCUGGUCUAAUAAACCGGACUAAUGACGGUACCUGAAGAAUAAGCACCGGCUAACUACGUGCCAGCAGCCGCGGCAAUACGUAGGGUGCAAGCGUUAAUCGGAAUUACUGGGCGUAAAGCGUGCGCAGGCGGCUUUGCAAGACAGAUGUGAAAUCCCCGGGCUCAACCUGGGAACUGCAUUUGUGACUGCAAGGCUAGAGUACGGCAGAGGGGGAUGGAAUUCCGCGUGUAGCAGUGAAAUGCGUAGAUAUGCGGAGGAACACCGAUGGCGAAGGCAAUCCCCUGGGCCUGUACUGACGCUCAUGCACGAAAGCGUGGGGAGCAAACAGGAUUAGAUACCCUGGUAGUCCACGCCCUAAACGAUGUCACUGGUUGUUGGGUAGGGUUUCUUCUCAGUAACGAAGCUAACGCGUGAAGUUGACCGCCGUGGGGAGGUACGGCCGGCGAGGUAGAACGUACGAAAGGAAGUUAGUACGGCGUGAGACGUAGCCGACGGACGACGACGAGGGAGGAGGG
This 632-nucleotide ribosomal RNA is filed under the name uncultured bacterium. RNAcentral's name for it is "bacterial SSU rRNA". The stretch from base 1 to 542 matches the Rfam family "Bacterial small subunit ribosomal RNA", at positions 338 to 873 of the family's 1533-position model. The record is from RNAcentral.